RNAcentral lists this ribosomal RNA (447 nucleotides) under uncultured bacterium. RNAcentral describes it as "bacterial SSU rRNA". It matches the Rfam family "Bacterial small subunit ribosomal RNA", at positions 330 to 793 of the family's 1533-position model. The record is from RNAcentral.
CCCAGACUCCUACGGGAGGCAGCAGUGGGGAAUAUUGCACAAUGGGGGAAACCCUGAUGCAGCAACGCCGCGUGAGUGAAGAAGGUUUUCGGAUUGUAAAGCUCUGUUAGCAGGGAAGAGGAAGGACGGUACCUGCAGAGGAAGCCCCGGCUAACUACGUGCCAGCAGCCGCGGUAAUACGUAGGGGGCAAGCGUUAUCCGGAUUUACUGGGUGUAAAGGGUGCGUAGGUGGCAGGGCAAGUCAGAUGUGAAAGCCCGGGGCUCAACCCCGGUACUGCAUUUGAAACUGUCCAGCUGGAGUGCAGGAGAGGUAAGCGGAAUUCCUAGUGUAGCGGUGAAAUGCGUAGAUAUUAGGAGGAACACCAGUGGCGAAGGCGGCUUACUGGACUGUAACUGACACUGAGGCACGAAAGCGUGGGGAGCAAACAGGAUUAGAUACCCCUGUAC